Molecule: ribosomal RNA, 512 nt
Filed under: uncultured bacterium
Lineage: Bacteria
Description: partial 16S ribosomal RNA
Rfam family: Bacterial small subunit ribosomal RNA
Source: RNAcentral
GACGAACGCUGGCGGCGUGCCUAAUACAUGCAAGUCGAGCGAAUCACUGGGAGCUUGCUCCCGGUGGUUAGCGGCGGACGGGUGAGUAACACGUGGGCAACCUGCCUGUAAGACUGGGAUAACACCGGGAAACCGGUGCUAAUACCGGAUAAUCCUUUUCCUCUCAUGAGGAAAAGCUGAAAGUCGGUUUCGGCUGACACUUACAGAUGGGCCCGCGGCGCAUUAGCUAGUUGGUGAGGUAACGGCUCACCAAGGCGACGAUGCGUAGCCGACGUGAGAGGGGGAUCGGCCACACUGGGACUGAGACACGGCCCAGACUCCUACGGGAGGCAGCAGUAGGGAAUCUUCCACAAUGGACGAAAGUCUGAUGGAGCAACGCCGCGUGAGCGAUGAAGGCCUUCGGGUCGUAAAGCUCUGUUGUUAGGGAAGAACAAGUACCGGAGUAACUGCCGGUACCUUGACGGUACCUAACCAGAAAGCCACGGCUAACUACGUGCCAGCAGCCGCAGUAA